RNAcentral lists this unclassified non-coding RNA (2325 nucleotides) under Hevea brasiliensis (rubber tree). The record is from RNAcentral. Lineage: Eukaryota; Viridiplantae; Streptophyta; Magnoliopsida; Malpighiales; Euphorbiaceae.
GGGAGAGAAAUAUUUUGAGUUAAUUGUAAAGAAUUGAUAAACACUUUCUUUUCUUCUUUUUCUCUCUUUCUCUCUUCUUUGUGCUCAAAGCUUUCUGUUACAUCCAUAAUCACGCUAUCUGGCUCAUCUUUUCUUGAUCGUUCUUUUCCCCUUUCUUUCUCCUUUUCACGCUCUUUUUCUUUCUCCCUUCUCUCCUUAUCCUUCCUCUUCUCUUUCUCAUCUUUUUCUUUCUCUUUUUUGACUUUUUCCUCCUCACGUUUGCGUUCCUUUUCUUUUGCUUUUUCCUGCAACCAUGCAACAUAUUCCUCAAAGACUGCCCUUGAGAUUGUCUCUUCACCAAUAGCUCUGAACUCUGAACUAUCCUCCACAAGUUCUUUGCUCUCCUCCCAACUAGAGGAAUCAGUUAUUUCCUUAAUGGAACUGAGCUUGUCGGUAAAAUCUUUUGCAAGCCUUUGACGCUUUUUAGCUUCUUUCUCUUCCUUUUCCUUUGCUCUCUCAACUAGAUCCUCAAAAAUAAGCUGUAGAUUAACAUCUUGAAUGGAUGGGGAACUAAUUCCCUCCAAAAUUGCAACUUUGAAGUCUUCAAAUGUACAUGUUGGUGAGAUCGUGAUCUUUUCUGACUUAACUACAUCUUUUACAUGAAUCUUGUCUUCAUGAUACUGUUUUUCCAACUCUUCAGUGACAUCUUCAAACAAAUCCUUUGGUGUUGAACCAGAAGUAUUUGAUGCAACAGCCUGAUAAGCCACAGACUCCUUAACCAUCUGCCAAUAAUCACGCCAAUAUGUUUUUGCAGUAAGCAUGCCUGCAGCAAUAUGCUCCUCUAUCAUCUUUCGGAAUGCAUCCCGGUUUUUGCGCUCUGCACGCCGCAGUUGCUCCUUUUGCAAUUUUCUCUGUUCUUCGUCCUCCUUCUCCAGGUCACGAAUGUAUUCCUGGAAAAUAUCUAAGCGGUCAAGUUUUUCAAGGCGUGAACAUCUUUCAUCAUCUUCCAAAAGAUCUUGGACUUUGCGCCACUGUGUAUCAACCUUGAUAAAGCCACAAGUCUCCAAAAACUGUUUGUACUCCAAUCUAUUCCGUCGAUACUCUUCUUGAGCCUUUGACCUCUCCUUUUUCUGAAGAUCCACCAAGUAGUUCCUGAAAAGAUCUUCACGAUCAGCCUCUCGUUCAACACCCUUGAACCGUUCAUCAUCCUCAAACAUUGUUACUGCCUUACUCCAUCUUGUAGAUGAAGUGAGUUCCUUGGACUCCUCUAACAUCUUUGUGAAUUCCUCUUUUGCCUUUCUUUGUCUAAGGCGCCUCUCCUCAGCCUCCUGUUUCUUCCUUUGCAUCAAGUACUCAUUAAAUGCUUGUUUCCGCUCACCAAGAGUUUUCAGAGCCCCAUACCGUUUAUCAUUGAUUAUAACUCGCAUUGUCUGCUCCCAUGUCCAAUCAGAUUCAACAGUAGCAGACUCUAAUAGAGAUUUGAAUGCAUGUUUAGCCUCCUGCUUGGUGGCAUAUAGAAAAGGUUCUUCAUCUGCUGAUUUCUCUUCUGCAGGUACCACAUUGAUCUUCCCAGCAACUGCCAUGCCUUUCUUUGCCUCCUCAAUAUCCUGACUAGAAGCUCCACUUAAAGAACUAGCAACUUGAGGAGAUAAAUUUUCAAUGCCACUCAUUUGUGUCUGAUAGGCAUUAGCUAGAGCAGCAGAUCUUGUAUUCCCUGAAACAGCAGGUGAAGAGAUACCGGCUGAACUUGUCACAGCAAAGCUCACAGUAGGAAUGGCUGAUGAUCCAGAUACCACCAAAGGUGGAGUAUUAACAUCAGAAACAGCAGGCGUAACUGGAACAGGGCUUGAAGGAACUCCAGAAACCGUUGAAGAAGGUGUGGAGCUAACCGGGGUGACAGCAGAUGGUUGUUCUGUUGAGGUCACAGCUUCACUGACUUGCACACCAGAAUUUGUGCUUGUUCCAGUCUGAACUACUUGACUAGCAACAUUUUCAGCGAGUUCACGAGCCAACUUUAGUUCAUCAGGCAUUGUCCACUUAGACUGCUUGGUUUCUUUGUUGUAGUAAUACUUCCGACCAUCGGCAGUUGUGAAUUCUUUCCAUACAGUCGAAGCAUCAGCUCUCUCUAAAGGUGUCAUCAGCUCCAACGGCUUCUCCCAGCUAGAUUGCUUUGUAUUCUUAUUGUAAUAAUAUCGUCUCCCAUCAGCAGCUUCAUACUCUUGCCAGUCAGAUGCAGUCUGCUGAGAAGCUGUGCUCGCCGGAACUGCUGGAGCUACAGCUAACAAUUGGUGACUACUCGGGGGAGUAGGGUCACCCACUGGUGUGGUUUGACUUCCAGAUGACAAC